GGUCUUGGAUACACAUUUAACCUUUAAAGAGUUCUGGAAGGAACAUUACAACAUCCUUUCCUGUAUGGGAUUAAUUGAGAAAUUCUGGGCCAAUGCCUCUCUAAGGACACUGAGAUCUGCCUGUAUACAGGAGAGAGAUUUUGAAGACUGUGUAAAGGAACCUGAGCCUUCAUUGGAACAACUCACAGCUGUCUUCUGGAAUAAAUCAAGUUAGACACAACUCUUUUCCCCUUGUAGACAUCGCAUGAAGAUUGGCUCUGAAAAAUACCAACAGGAGUGUCUGCUUCUGAUUAAGGUAAGUAGUACU
This 307-nucleotide long non-coding RNA is filed under the name Fukomys damarensis (Damara mole-rat). RNAcentral describes it as "lncRNA (ENSFDAG00000027502.1)". The record is from RNAcentral. Lineage: Eukaryota; Metazoa; Chordata; Mammalia; Rodentia; Bathyergidae.